UCAGUACGGGAGGCAGCAGUCGGGAAUAUUGCGCAAUGGAGGAAACUCUGACGCAGUGACGCCGCGUGCAGGAAGAAGGUUUUCGGAUUGUAAACUGCUUUUAACAGGAAAAGAAAAAAAUGACGGUACCUGUUGAAUAAGCUCCGGCUAACUACGUGCCAGCAGCCGCGGUAAUCUGA
RNAcentral lists this ribosomal RNA (179 nucleotides) under uncultured bacterium. Its description in RNAcentral is "partial 16S ribosomal RNA". It matches the Rfam family "Bacterial small subunit ribosomal RNA", at positions 337 to 528 of the family's 1533-position model. The record is from RNAcentral.